CCUACGGGUGGCAGCAGUCGAGAAUCUUUGACAAUGGGCGCAACCCUGAUCCUGCGACGCCGCGUGGGGAAAUGAAGUUCUUCGGAUUGUAAACCCCUGUCAUGUGGGAGCAAAUUAAAAAGCUAGUACCCCAAGAGGAAGAGACGGCUAACACUGUGCCAGCAGCAGCGGUCAUACAGAGGCCUCAAUCGUUGUUCGGAAUCACUGGGCGUAAAGGGUUCGUGGGGUGUGUUGUAAGUCGUGUGGGAAAGGUGCGGGCUCAACCCGCGGACAGUACAUGAUACUGUGGGGCUAGAGUAAGGGAGGGGGAACCGGAAUUCUCGGUGUAGCGGUGAAAUGCGUAGAUAUCGCGAAGAACACUCGUGGCGAAGGCGGGUUCCUGGACAUUAACUGACGCUGAGGCACGAAGGCCAGGGGAGCGAAAGGGAUUAGAUACCCCUGUAGUC
This 446-nucleotide ribosomal RNA is filed under the name uncultured bacterium. RNAcentral describes it as "partial 16S ribosomal RNA". It matches the Rfam family "Bacterial small subunit ribosomal RNA", at positions 338 to 795 of the family's 1533-position model. The record is from RNAcentral.